UGGAUAGAUUAUUGUAUUCGACUGUAUUCACGGCGUGAAAUAGGGGAUUACACUGUUUUUAAACGGAAAGUGAAUCAAUUAACAUAAUAGACUCAC
MicroRNA precursor from Nicotiana attenuata, 96 nucleotides. It matches the Rfam family "MIR6152 microRNA precursor family". NCBI's taxonomy places the organism in Eukaryota, Viridiplantae, Streptophyta, Magnoliopsida, Solanales, Solanaceae. The record is from Rfam.